This 305-nucleotide long non-coding RNA is filed under the name Gallus gallus (chicken). The record is from RNAcentral. Lineage: Eukaryota; Metazoa; Chordata; Aves; Galliformes; Phasianidae.
UCAGUAGUCAAAAGCAGUCUGCCCAAGUAAUUGUGGUGCUUCUGCUGCUUCAGUCCUCCCGUCCCAGGACGGCCAUGCUGACGUUCCCCCUUGACAGAUGCAGCCUCCUCAUCGUGCUAAAGCCUUCCGGCUGAGAACCGGCUGUGGUACGGCCGCCGGGCGCUGAGAGGGGGCGAGCCCCGCGCCCGCCCUGCCUCCGCGCCGGGAUUGAUCUGGUCGCGCUGGCGUCAGGCAGUCGGAGUCGCCCAGCCUCCACUUACCGCUGCCAGCUCGCACGGACACACACACACAUAGACACACACACA